AUGGACGGGAAUUCGCGGUGGGCGCGCGCGCGGGGCAUGCCAACGUCGGCCGGCCACGCGGCUUUGCAGCCGGCGCUGGAGGAGACGGAAGAGGUUGACUUCUGCAUGGCCGUGUACAACCGGUUCAUCCAGGACAAUGUCGCCCAGUUUUUAAGGGAAGGGAUUCGUCUACGGGUAAUCGGUGACUGCUCAAGGCUGCCGACUUAUCUGCAGAAAACUGCACAAAACGCCGAGGAGGAAACAAGUAGCAACUCACAGCUCGACCUGAUGCUAGCUAUCGGCUACAGUGGACGAACGGACAUCUUGCAAGCAUGCGGGAAGCUUGCCCGGAAGGUGCACAGCAAGCUACUCAGGCCGGAGGACAUCGACGAGUCACUAUUCGCCGAUGAGCUCCAGACGAGCUGGACAGACGAGUUCCCUUGCCCCGACCUACUCAUCAGGACCAGCGGCGAACUGAGGCUCAGCAACUUCUUGCUGUGGCAGUCGGCGUACUCGGAGCUCUUUUUCACUGACACGCUCUGGCCUGACUUCGGGGAGGCUGAAUAUCUCCAAGCACUCAUGUCUUUCCAGAGCAGAGACAGGCGUUUUGGAAAAAGAAAACUCUAG
This 606-nucleotide ribosomal RNA is filed under the name Triticum aestivum (bread wheat). Its description in RNAcentral is "partial small subunit ribosomal RNA". The record is from RNAcentral. Lineage: Eukaryota; Viridiplantae; Streptophyta; Magnoliopsida; Poales; Poaceae.